RNAcentral lists this long non-coding RNA (564 nucleotides) under Phoenix dactylifera (date palm). RNAcentral's name for it is "long non-coding RNA (PDAC_LNC000813)". The record is from RNAcentral. Lineage: Eukaryota; Viridiplantae; Streptophyta; Magnoliopsida; Arecales; Arecaceae.
ACAUUUCAAAAAAUCAGUAAUUACAACUAUUGUAUGAUUAUAUUUUUAAAAUAUUGUCAUCAAUUGUAGACAUAGUAGUUAGGCAAGUUUUUGAGAACUCGGUGGUUGGCAAAUUUAGUGGUGUGUAAGUGUCCCCAUCCAUGCUACCAGUAUUAUAAACUAUAGCAAAUUUAUUUAUAUGCAAAUCACAAGAAGGGGAAAAGGUAAGGACAUUUUUUGGAUGGCUUCAUAAAUUGUUCGGAUUAAUGUUUACAUAAUUAAUAUUAAGAGUUUGUUUGGAUAUUGCUAUAAAAUUGGGUUCAAAGCUUCUUAGAAAUUGGGUCUAUUGGCCCAUCUAACCUAUAUUCUCUAAGAGUCUAUCUAAACUCAAUCCAGAUCCUAGUCUUUUAGUUGUAGGAAGAAAGAUCUUAGUCUUUUUUUUUUUUGUUCUUACAAGAUUUGGGUCGGGUGAAGUUUGGUUAAUACAGAGCUAUGUUUAAAUGACAGCUCAAUUUAUGAAUCCUACAGAAUUUAUAGUCCAAUCCCGUGUUUGGGUUGGAGGGGGAGGGCAAAGGGCCUUUUUUU